This 457-nucleotide long non-coding RNA is filed under the name Coffea arabica (coffee). RNAcentral describes it as "long non-coding RNA (CARA_LNC006403)". Lineage: Eukaryota; Viridiplantae; Streptophyta; Magnoliopsida; Gentianales; Rubiaceae. The record is from RNAcentral.
UCUAAGCCCGCUAAUGAAACUGGAGACAGAAUAUCGUUCACUAAGUCUUAUUACUCCUGCGGAGCAUCAAAGUUUUCAACUGUUCAAACUUCUCUUGGUAUUCUUCUAAAUUACCAAUCUAUUGCGACUUAUUGAAUUUUUCCAAAUUUCCUCUGUCAACAAAUGUGUGCACGAUAGUUCUUUAAUUCCUUCCAAGACAAACUAGCUAGGUUUUUCAAUCUUGACCCCCAGAAACUAGUUAUCUGUUAUUCCCUCAUGAUACAUUCCAAUCACAUUCAUUCUAUUUUCAUCAAAAAAAUUUGUAAAACAAGAAUAAUUUAUGGCAUUUUCUGACUCAUUCCCUGAGAUUAUCCCCAAAGAACAUAGGUAAUUCAACCUUAAGAGUAACUGGGAAAAGGAAUCCUACUCCAGCUCUCCUUAGUAGUCGCUCCAGGCUCAUUGGUGGACAGCAACUUCU